RNAcentral lists this unclassified non-coding RNA (225 nucleotides) under plant metagenome. Its description in RNAcentral is "partial contains small subunit ribosomal RNA, internal transcribed spacer 1, and 5.8S ribosomal RNA". The record is from RNAcentral.
UCUCCGAUGGUGAACCAGCGGAGGGAUCAUUACAGGACUCGCAAGACUCCUACAACCCUGUGAACUUAACUAUAAGCACGUUGCUUCGGCGGGUGUCUCGGAGGGGGUUCUCCCUCCCCGAGACGCUAAACCCGCCGGCAGCCUACUAUACUCUGUCUCUUUGCGUUGGCAUCUCGAGUACAAUCAAACAAGUUAAAACUUUCAACAACGGAUCUCUUGGUUCUG